RNAcentral lists this ribosomal RNA (253 nucleotides) under uncultured bacterium. RNAcentral describes it as "partial 16S ribosomal RNA". It matches the Rfam family "Bacterial small subunit ribosomal RNA", at positions 524 to 776 of the family's 1533-position model. The record is from RNAcentral.
UACAUGGGGUGCAAACGUUGCUCGGAAUCACUGGGCGUAAAGGGCGCGUAGGCGGGAUGGCAAGUCGGUCGUGAAAUCCUUCGGCUCAACCGAAGAACGUCGGCCGAUACUGCCGUUCUUGAGGGAUGCAGAGGAGAUUGGAAUUCCCGGUGUAGCGGUGAAAUGUGUAGAGAUCGGGAGGAACACCGGUGGCGAAGGCGGGUCUCUGGGCAAUUCCUGACGCUGAGGCGCGAAAGCGUGGGGAGCAAACGGG